GGGGCAACCCCUCGAGAGUGGCGAACGGGUGAGUAAUAUAUCGGAACGUGCCCAGUCGUGGGGGAUAACGUAGCGAAAGUUACGCUAAUACCGCAUACGAUCUACGGAUGAAAGCGGAGGAUCGCAAGACCUCGCGCGAUUGGAGCGGCCGACAUCAGAUUAGGUAGUUGGUGGGGUAAAGGCUCACCAAGCCAACGAUCUGUAGCUGGUCUGAGAGGACGACCAGCCACACUGGAACUGAGACACGGUCCAGACUCCUACGGGAGGCAGCAGUGGGGAAUUUUGGACAAUGGACGCAAGUCUGAUCCAGCCAUUCCGCGUGCAGGAUGAAGGCCCUCGGGUUGUAAACUGCUUUUGUACGGAACGAAAAGGUUUCUAUUAAUACUAGGAGCUCAUGACGGUACCGUAAGAAUAAGCACCGGCUAACUACGUGCCAGCAGCCGCGGUAAUACGUAGGGUGCAAGCGUUAAUCGGAAUUACUGGGCGUAAAGCGUGCGCAGGCGGUUAUGUAGGACAGAGGUGAAAUCCCCGGGCUCAACCUGGGAACUGCCUUUGUGACUGCAUAGCUAGAGUACGGUAGAGGGGGAUGGAAUUCCGCGUGUAGCAGUGAAAUGCGUAGAUAUGCGGAGGAACACCGAUGGCGAAGGCAAUCCCCUGGACCUGUACUGACGCUCAUGCACGAAAGCGUGGGGAGCAAACAGGAUUAGAUACCCUGGUAGUCCACGCCCUAAACGAUGUCAACUGGUUGUUGGGUCUUCACUGACUCANUAACGAAGCUAACGCGUGAAGUUGACCGCCUGGGGAGUACGGCCGCAAGGUUGAAACUCNNNGAGUUGACGGGGACCCGCACAAGCGGUGGAUGAUGUGGUUUAAUUCNAUGCAACGCGAAAAACCUUAC
This 898-nucleotide ribosomal RNA is filed under the name uncultured bacterium. Its description in RNAcentral is "bacterial SSU rRNA". It matches the Rfam family "Bacterial small subunit ribosomal RNA", at positions 76 to 974 of the family's 1533-position model. The record is from RNAcentral.